AUGUUUUGACAAGGGGGGAAACCCUGAUCCAGCCAUCCCGCGUGUAUGAUGAAGGCCUUCUGUUUGUAAAGUACUUUUGGCAGAGAAGAAAAGGUAUCCCCUAAUACUAGAUACUGCUGACGGUAUCUGCAGAUUAAGCACCGGCUACCUACGUGCACGCAGCCGCGGUAAUACGUAGGGUGUAAGCGUUAAUCGGAAUUACUGGGCGUAAAGCGUGUGGUGGCGGUUCGGAAAGAAAGAUGUGAAAUCACAGGGCUCAACCUUGGAACUGCAUUUUUAACUGCCGAGCUAGAGUAUGUCAGAGGGGGGUAGAAUUCCACGUGUAGCAGUGAAAUGCGUAGAUAUGUGGAGGAAUACCGAUGGCGAAGGCAGCCCCCUGGGAUAAUACUGACGCUCAGACACGAAAGCGUGGGGAGCAAACAGG
This 424-nucleotide ribosomal RNA is filed under the name uncultured bacterium. RNAcentral describes it as "partial 16S ribosomal RNA". It matches the Rfam family "Bacterial small subunit ribosomal RNA", at positions 359 to 776 of the family's 1533-position model. The record is from RNAcentral.